RNAcentral lists this ribosomal RNA (925 nucleotides) under Ruditapes philippinarum (Manila clam). Its description in RNAcentral is "large subunit ribosomal RNA". The stretch from base 496 to 858 matches the Rfam family "Bacterial large subunit ribosomal RNA", at positions 2075 to 2645 of the family's 2925-position model. Lineage: Eukaryota; Metazoa; Mollusca; Bivalvia; Venerida; Veneridae. The record is from RNAcentral.
GUAUAUAAAGUAGUAAAAUUUUGUUAAUAAAGUAGGGUUUAUAUUGCCCCUCUUGUAAAAACUUAAUAAUAAAGUGUUUUAUAAAAUAUUUUUUUUUAGUACCUUUCAGUAUUUAUUAAUAUUAUAAAUGGUAUAAGUAUAGAAUUAGUAGCUAUAAAAUAAAUUAGUAAAAAGAAAAAGUUGACUAAUAGUAUAAUUAUAUUAAGAAAUACUAAUUAUCUCUAUUUAAAAUAAGUAAUGAAGAAAUAUUUUUUAAAGGAAUUCGACAAAUUUAUCCUUCGCCUGUUUAUCAAAAACAUGGCUUUUUGAGUAUUUAAAUAAUAAAAAGUCUGGCCUGCCCAGUGAGUAUAUUAAAUGGCUGCAACGAGAGUUGUACUAAGGUAGCGCGAUAAUUUGUCUCUUAAUUAGAGAAUGGUAUGAAGGGUUAGACGUGGGAUUAUUGUCUCUAAAAAAUACAGUUAAGUUUCCUUUUAAAUGAAAAGGUUUAAAUUUAUUAAAAGACGAGAAGACCCUGUCGAGCUUAAUUAAAUAAAAAACUAGAUAUGGUUAAAUGAAAAGUGUUAAUAGUUUAAUUGUUGGCUGAGUUUUUAAUUGAAGUUUAGUUGGGGAGAGCUGAGUUUAAGGUAAUAAACUUAAGAAAUACUAAAGAUCCUCUUUGAGAGAAGUUAGCAAAAGCUACCGCAGGGAUAACAGCGUAAUUCUUUUUAAGAGAUCUUAUUGAGGGAAGAGUUUGCGACCUCGAUGUUGGAUUAGAAAAACUUUUUGGUGUAGCAGCUAGAAGUUGUAAGACUGUUCGUCUUUUAAUUUUCUACAUGAUCUGAGUUCAGACCGGCGUGAGCUAGGUUGGUUUCUAUCUUUAUUUUUUAUUCCCAUUGUACGAAAGGAUCCGGGUAUAGAGUUUUACUUUUAAUUGUUUAUUAAUUAA